UAUGGCCAAAUCACGUGGAAACACCGGUUCUCAUACGAUCACCGAAGUUAAGCAACAUCGAGCCUGAUCAGUACCUAGAUGGAUGACCACUUGAGAAAAACCAG
Molecule: non-coding RNA, 104 nt
Organism: Acanthosepion pharaonis
Lineage: Eukaryota; Metazoa; Mollusca; Cephalopoda; Sepiida; Sepiidae
Source: the annotation of a GenBank genome assembly